RNAcentral lists this ribosomal RNA (699 nucleotides) under uncultured bacterium. Its description in RNAcentral is "bacterial SSU rRNA". It matches the Rfam family "Bacterial small subunit ribosomal RNA", at positions 28 to 766 of the family's 1533-position model. The record is from RNAcentral.
AACGAACGCUGGCGGCAUGCCUAACACAUGCAAGUCGAACGGGAUCCACCUUUCGGGGUGGUGAGAGUGGCGGACGGGUGAGUAACACGUGGGAACCUGCCUUUUGGUUCGGGAUAACCGCGGGAAACUGCGGCUAAUACCGGAUGUACCCGCGAGGGGAAAGAUUUAUCGCCAGAAGAGGGGCCCGCGUCCGAUUAGGUAGUUGGUAGGGUAAAGGCCUACCAAGCCGACGAUCGGUAGCUGGUCUGAGAGGACGAUCAGCCACACUGGGACUGAGAUACGGCCCAGACUCCUACGGGAGGCAGCAGUGGGAAUAUUGGACAAUGGGGCAACCCUGAUCCAGCAAUGCCGCGUGAGUGAUGAAGGCCUUAGGGUUGUAAAGCUCUUUUGCCAGGGAAGAUGAUGACGGUACCUGGAGAAUAAGCCCCGGCUAACUUCGUGCCAGCAGCCGCGGUAAUACGAAGGGGCUAGCGUUGUUCGGAAUUACUGGGCGUAAAGGGCGCGUAGGCGGCCAUUUAAGUUAGGUGUGAAAGUCCUGGGCUCAACCUGGGGACUGCACUUAAUACUGGGUGGCUUGAAUUCGGGAGAGGAUAGCGGAAUUCCCAGUGUAGAGGUGAAAUUCGUAGAUAUUGGGAAGAACACCGGUGGCGAAGGCGGCUAUCUGGACCGACAUUGACGCUGAGGCGCGAAAGCGUGGGG